RNAcentral lists this transfer RNA (72 nucleotides) under Elusimicrobiota bacterium. RNAcentral's name for it is "Elusimicrobia bacterium (hot springs metagenome) tRNA-Val". It matches the Rfam family "tRNA". From Rfam's summary of the family: Transfer RNA (tRNA) molecules are approximately 80 nucleotides in length. Lineage: Bacteria; Pseudomonadati; Elusimicrobiota. The record is from RNAcentral.
GGGCGUUUAGCUCAGUGGUAGAGCGCCCCGCUUACACCGGGAAGGUCGUAGGUUCAAGUCCUGCAACGCCCA